CAGCAGCCACGGUAACACGGAGGGGGCUAGCGUUGUUCGGAAUUACUGGGCGUAAAGCGCGCGUAGGCGGUUACUCAAGUCAGAGGUGGAAGCCCGGGGCUCAACCCCGGAACUGCCUUUGAAACUAGGUGACUAGAAUCUUGGAGAGGUCAGUGGAAUUCCGAGUGUAGAGGUGAAAUUCGUAGAUAUUCGGAAGAACACCAGUGGCGAAGGCGGCUUACUGGCUCAUACUGGACGCUGAGGUGCGAAAGCGUGGGGAGCAAACAGGAUUAGAUACCCGAGUAGUCCCUGUCUCUUAUAC
Molecule: ribosomal RNA, 301 nt
Filed under: uncultured bacterium
Lineage: Bacteria
Description: partial 16S ribosomal RNA
Rfam family: Bacterial small subunit ribosomal RNA
Source: RNAcentral